This is a long non-coding RNA of Carassius carassius (crucian carp), 2917 nucleotides long. RefSeq lists it as uncharacterized. Lineage: Eukaryota; Metazoa; Chordata; Actinopteri; Cypriniformes; Cyprinidae. The transcript has 2 exons. The record is from RefSeq and is a predicted model, not a curated record.
UGUCUGUCUGUCUAGAUAGCUAGCUGUCUGACAAUCUCAUUUGUACACAUUGAUUAUCGAAUACUACUGGAAUCAGUAUAUUUACAGUAAUUAUGAAAUGCAACUAAAUCAUAAAAAAUAGCUAAUAAAAAACUACAGUAAAGUAAAACUUCAACUACAUCGCUGCUUCAGCUUCUUAACUGGCUUAAUGUAAAAGGCUAAAUAAAGGAUUGAUAACUGUAAACAUCUGAAAACAUGGUUUGGAAAAUAGGUACAAGGGACCAUAAACUGUCUGAAAAAGAGAUGAGGAAAUAUUAUCUCCAUAGAUAAUCUAAUCUAAUGUUCCACCUAAUACAUUUUAUGUGGAAUAUACAUAAACAUGGAAUAUUGUUGGCCAGUUUCCAUAAAACUAAGCAUUAUAAAGUAGUUGUUUCAAAUGAUAGUUAGAUCAUUGCAAUAAAAUGAAUAACAGCCAUCUUAGAUGUGUAAAUUGCAUUUUGAAACGGUAAUACUUGGAUGUUGUGUUGUCAACAGUUGAUUUUGGUUCAAUAAACAAAGUAUCUCUGCUUUAUGUGCAUAUAUUAGAAAAAAUGACAUGUUGCAUUGGUGCCAAGGUGAUUGUGUAAUAGAUAACUGAAAUAGAUACAUGUCAUAGAUAUAGGGACAUUAUUAUUCAAAAAUGCUUUUAUACAAAAUAAUAAAAUGGUAUUAGUCCAUUGCAAAUCUUUAUAACACCUUAGUAGAGGCCAAUUCUCUCUCAUUAUUAUUAAUAGUAGUAGUAGUAGUACUUAUAAAGCAAAUAUUCUGUCAGAGCAUAUUCUACAUCCCUAAACUUUACAGCUACCUUACUAACUAUGAAUAAGCAGCAAAUUAGGAGUUUGAGGCAAAUGUUGCAAUUAAUGGUUUAUUAAUAGCAAAAAUUGGACCUUAAAAUAAAGUGUGUCAAAAAUCUCAUUAAUAAAAACCAGUAACAAUUCACUGUUCCUUUUGUGACAGAUUUUUUAUGUCAGUAAAAUCAAGCAGUUCUGAAUGCCCACCUCGGGCUUUCUAGGGUUUUUGAUGAAGAACUUGUUUCCAAAGGCAACAGCUAAGUCAUUUGUGGGAAAGGAGCAACAGUUAAUUGAAUAAACGCGCAUUUAGUAAAUGAACUGGAAUCUCUAAACUGGCAGUAGCAUGUUGGAUCAGUAGCACACCAAAACAAACAUUCAUUCAUACAGGCCAUCCAAACAGUCUUGAUGUUUGAACAAACUGGAUGGAAAAACCCAUGAAAAAAAUUACAAUCAUUCUUGACAUGUUGACUUUACUGGCAAAUAUUCGCAGAAAACCAGAAAUGCUAAUGCUAAAUGUCAUGAGACUGCAGGUCAGCUUAUACAACACCAUCUACACUCAUAGCUAUGUUACUUGAAUUCAAAGGUUCUGGGACGAAAAAAAAUAAAAAAGGCUAGAGAUUAUUUUCUUGUGCCAGUCGCCAGGUAGGAGACAGUGAGAGGAGCUCCAUAUGCUAGCGGUGAUCUCCAGAGAUUUCAAUUAGAUCCAUCUCUCAGGGUGUUAAAGCCACAGCAAUAUGCUAUCUGGUUACACCAAUUAAGCCACGGUCAGCCUUAUCAUCUGAUCACAAUGCUUUCUACACAGCCAAAAGUGGAGUUUAAAGCCCUUGACUGGAAAGACAUGAGGAAGGUUUUUUUUUUUUUUUUGGAUGAGUAGCUAUAAUGCCAAGCUCUAAAUAAACCUGCUUAUACAACUUGUAGAGCUGUUCAACUUAAACCUUGAAAGUAAUUAUAUGGCUUGCUAUUACGAAGGUGAUCAUCUAGGCUGGAUUACACAUGGGAACAAAAUUAUACAGUACUUUCUGAAGAGAAGCAAUUACACCCCUGGUGAAAUGUUAGUUAUGUUACUAUGUUUUAUUAACCGUCUUAAAGGCAAAGAAGUUGGUCACCACUCAUGCACUGCAUGGAUGUUUCUAAAUUUCCCAUUUAUUUUCUGUGUUUGAUGACAUUAUUACUAACAAAACCUUUGUUUAUUGUAUUAAAUGUUCAGAAGAAGCCUCUGGAGACCUUCCUGUUCCCUUUUCCCAGCAGCUAUUUGUUAAAUGUGUUUAAAGCUUCCAGCAACCAGCUGCACUUCAUGGCUAAAGAUAAAGAAAACCCCAUGCGCAAGGAGUUAAUAAGUCAAACAAGUAAGAGCAUUGUCUACAAUUUCAAGAUGCUCUCGAAGGAAGUAAACAAGCAGACGUGAAAUUAAGAGCCGUCUUCUUUCCCUCCUUCCAUGUGACUGCAGAGGCAUAUGACUUCCAUAACUUCAUCGCUCAUUAACCACCGAUGGUAGGACACAAUUGAGCGAGUGUUUGUGGAACUUGCCCUAGAUAUCCAGAUCUCAGUCCUUGGCUCUGGCUGUUGGGCAGAUCUUCUCCUGUUUCAGAUAUCUUCACCCUGCCUGACAACAGACCGUGAGGAGCUUCACAUGAGAGUCCCGUGUAAGGAGUGAACUAUGGGAUAGAAAGGCCAGUUAUGUCCACUUAAAUCCCUUAACAAGCACCACAGCAAACAAUAGGCAGAUUAGCAUUUACAGUGACGGUAUUAUUAAAUUACCUCAUCUACACAUGAGCCAACAAUUGAGUUACUUUUAUAAAUUUGUGCAGACAGUAUAUGUAAGAACCGCGUAUUCUUUGUUCAUUAAUGAUUUUGUGCACCACAUUUUGUAAGGUCCUGAAUAGAGCUAGCACUGGUUUGACCAAAAAAAAAAAACAUAUUCAGAAGUAUCUUUCAUAUUCCCUAUUAGCAUUAAAGCUAUGCAUGCUAGAUAUUGUCUGGGCUUGUCAUUAUCUCGUUUAAAAAGCAAUGUAUUUAUAAAAUAUAUAAUUAAAAUGUUGAUUAUAUUAUGUUGUGUAUUUUAAAAUAACGCUGAUAACUCUCAAACAAUAAAGUAAAAACGAUCAAAA